UCAGACGAUGCGUCAUGCAUAUCAAUAAGCGGAGGAAAAGAAACUAACAAGGAUUCCCUCAGUAACGGCGGGUGAAGCGGGAAGAGCUCAAAUUUGAAAUCUUGAAAGGUCACCUUUCACGAAUUGUAGUUUAAAGAAGUGUUUUCUGUUACGAUCGUAAUAUAAGUUCUUUGGAAUAGGACGUCACAGAGGGUGAGAAUCCCGUCUAUGAUUGCGAUUUGUAGCUUUGUGAUACACUUUCAAAGAGUCGGAUUGUUUGGGAAUGCAGUCCAAAACUGGGAGGUAAAUUUCAUUCUAAGGCUAAAUAUUGGCGAGAGACCGAUAGCGAACAAGUACCGUGAGGGAAAGAUGAAAAGAACUUUGAAAAGAGAGUUAAACAGUACGUGAAAUUGUCAAAAGGGAAGCGUUUGACACCAGUGUUGCUUUCUCGAAAAUCAAUUAAAAAUGGCUCGAUUUUGUAUUGCUUGAGACCUUAAAAGCUCACUGUACAUUUUUCGUGUCUUUUUUAAUGCACUUUUCGUUUAACAAGUCAACAUCAGUUUCUUUUGUUGUAAAAGGGUCAUUGGAAGGUGGCUUUCUUUUCGGAGAAAGUGUUUAUAGCCUUUGGCCUCUGCAAUCGGAGAGACUGAGGUCUGCAGCGUAGACUCUUCGGGGUUAGAUACAUUUGUGCUAAGUUAUAGCUUUUUAUAGACAACUUGUUGACUAUAAUUAGUCUUGUAGCUUACUCGCUUAUGCUAUUUUACCUACGCUUAGGAUGUUGACUGAUAUGUAGUCGUA
This 777-nucleotide ribosomal RNA is filed under the name uncultured Neocallimastigales. Its description in RNAcentral is "partial large subunit ribosomal RNA". It matches the Rfam family "Eukaryotic large subunit ribosomal RNA", at positions 18 to 644 of the family's 3401-position model. Lineage: Eukaryota; Fungi; Neocallimastigomycota; Neocallimastigomycetes; Neocallimastigales. The record is from RNAcentral.